RNAcentral lists this ribosomal RNA (243 nucleotides) under Vibrio vulnificus. RNAcentral's name for it is "partial 23S ribosomal RNA". It matches the Rfam family "Bacterial large subunit ribosomal RNA", at positions 2200 to 2452 of the family's 2925-position model. The record is from RNAcentral. Lineage: Bacteria; Pseudomonadati; Pseudomonadota; Gammaproteobacteria; Vibrionales; Vibrionaceae.
CCACCCUUUGCUUAUUUGAGAUCUAACUUCCGCGAGGAAGGACAUUGCUUGGUGGGUAGUUUGACUGGGGUGGUCGCCUCCAAAAGAGUAACGGAGGCUUCUAAAGGUUCCCUCAGCACGCUUGGUAACCGUGCGUAGAGUGCAAUGGUAUAAGGGAGCUUGACUGAGAGACAAACAAGUCGAUCAGGUACGAAAGUAGAGCAUAGUGAUCCGGUGGUUCCGCAUGGAAGGGCCAUCGCUCAA